GAGACAAAAUUGACUUUUGUGAGACAAAAUUGACUUUUGUGAGACAAAAUUGAAUAUUGAUUUUUGUCUCACAAAAUUGAGUUUUGUCUCUCAAAAGACAAUUUUGUCUCACAAAAGUCAAUUUUGUCUCAUGAAAGUC
RNAcentral lists this small RNA (139 nucleotides) under Mytilus galloprovincialis (Mediterranean mussel). The record is from RNAcentral. Lineage: Eukaryota; Metazoa; Mollusca; Bivalvia; Mytilida; Mytilidae.